This 849-nucleotide long non-coding RNA is filed under the name Heterocephalus glaber (naked mole-rat). RNAcentral's name for it is "lncRNA (ENSHGLG00000041716.1)". Lineage: Eukaryota; Metazoa; Chordata; Mammalia; Rodentia; Bathyergidae. The record is from RNAcentral.
GUUGGGAGCUGACCCUGCACACCCUGCGAUGUCUUAGAGCAGGGCCAUGGUGCACUGUGGAGCAGAGGCCAGUCUUUUACCCAGUCCAGUCUCCCUAAUUAGUGCAUCCUAUCAACCUGAGAUUGGAGUCAGGCUGACAGGAAGGCUCAACAGGCCUGCCCCAGCUGAGGCAUGGCAUGUGGAUUGGGUAGCUGUCAAGAGAGAAAGCUGGCACCUGAUGAGCUGUAGCGCACAGGUGAGCACAUUCACCUUGUGGUGAGUGAGCUCCCGUGUGCCUCGUGAGCAUCCGCACUAGCAGUGCCGGUGAGUGUUCUGGGAGUGUUCCGGUGCAGUGCAGCCUUAAAUCCUGAGUAAAGAAUAUCCUGAGAGAGCACAAGAAAGAUACCAUGUAGUAGUAUUCAGUCUUCAGAGUUGGUGGUCUGAACUUGAAAUUUUUCAGUUAUUCUACAUCAAGUCCUGAACUACUGGUUAGUGUGAAGAAGGAAGGAGCAGGACGUCUGCUGAGGCUAGAAGCAGUGAGGCUGUCACUAGCAGGCUGGGGACCUGAGAAGCACUGUGGAUGGGCGGAAGCAGCUGCACUAGGGACCUCAGAAGUGGACACCUGGAGAAGACACAUGUCCAGGGCACUUGGGAGCCAACAGAAAUUGAUCUUAGCUGGGGAUUAGAUGGAUGCUUAUUCUCUCUCUCUCUCUCUCUCUCUCUCUCUCUCUCUCUCUCUCUCUCUCUCUCUCUCCCCCUCUCUCCCUCUCUCUCCCCCUCUCUCUCCCUCUCUCUCCCCCUCUCUCUCCCCCUCUCUCUCCCCCUCUCUCUCUCCCUCUCUCUCCCCCUCUCUCUCCCCCUCUCUCUCCC